UACGUAGGGGGCGAGCGUUAUCCGGAUUUACUGGGUGUAAAGGGAGCGUAGACGGCAUGGUAAGCCAGAUGUGAAAGCCCGCGGCUUAACCGCGCGGAUUGCAUUUGGAACUAUCAAGCUAGAGUACAGGAGAGGAAAGCGGAAUUCCUAGUGUAGCGGUGAAAUGCGUAGAUAUUAGGAAGAACACCAGUGGCGAAGGCGGCUUACUGGACGGUAACUGACGCUGAGGCUCGAAAGCGUGGGGAGCA
This 248-nucleotide ribosomal RNA is filed under the name uncultured Tyzzerella sp. RNAcentral's name for it is "partial 16S ribosomal RNA". It matches the Rfam family "Bacterial small subunit ribosomal RNA", at positions 524 to 770 of the family's 1533-position model. Lineage: Bacteria; Bacillati; Bacillota; Clostridia; Lachnospirales; Lachnospiraceae. The record is from RNAcentral.